This 497-nucleotide ribosomal RNA is filed under the name uncultured bacterium. RNAcentral describes it as "partial 16S ribosomal RNA". It matches the Rfam family "Bacterial small subunit ribosomal RNA", at positions 28 to 507 of the family's 1533-position model. The record is from RNAcentral.
GAUGAACGCUGGCGGCGUGCCUAAUACAUGCAAGUCGAGCGAACGGACGAGACGCUUGCUUCUCUGAUGUUAGCGGCGGACGGGUGAGUAACACGUGGAUAACCUACCUAUAAGACUGGGAUAACUUCGGGAAACCGUAGCUAAUACCGGAUAAUAUUUUGAACCGCAUGGUUCAAAAGUGAAAGACGGUCUUGCUGUCACUUAUAGAUGGAUCCGCGCUGCAUUAGCUAGUUGGUAAGGUAACGGCUUACCAAGGCAACGAUGCAUAGCCGACCUGAGAGGGUGAUCGGCCACACUGGAACUGAGACACGCUCCAGAGUCCUACGGGAGGCAGCAGAAGGGAAUCUGCCGCAGUGGGCGAAAGCCUGACGGAGCAACGCCGCGUGAGUGAUGAAGGUCUUCGGAUCGUAAAACUCUGUUAUUAGGGAAGAACAGAUGUGUAAGUAACUGUGCACAUCUUGACGGUACCUGAUCAGAAAGCCACGGCUAACUACGUG